This 88-nucleotide transfer RNA is filed under the name Acidobacteriota bacterium. RNAcentral's name for it is "Acidobacteria bacterium (groundwater metagenome) tRNA-Leu". It matches the Rfam family "tRNA". From Rfam's summary of the family: Transfer RNA (tRNA) molecules are approximately 80 nucleotides in length. Their secondary structure includes four short double-helical elements and three loops (D, anti-codon, and T loops). The record is from RNAcentral. Lineage: Bacteria; Pseudomonadati; Acidobacteriota.
GCCGAAGUGGCGGAAUUGGCAGACGCGCUAGAUUCAGGGUCUAGUCCCCGUAAGGGCGGUGGAGGUUCGAGUCCUCUCUUCGGCACCA